Small nucleolar RNA from Dunckerocampus dactyliophorus (ringed pipefish), 152 nucleotides. RefSeq annotates it as small nucleolar RNA U109. Lineage: Eukaryota; Metazoa; Chordata; Actinopteri; Syngnathiformes; Syngnathidae. The record is from RefSeq and is a predicted model, not a curated record. The transcript has a single exon.
UGGCAUGUUUUGACCUUUGGACUUUGCUGCUCCUCUCUUUCUAGAGAGUGGGCAUGAACAAACAUGCUAGAAAAAUGUAUUACUUAAGGAGUUAACAGGGCCACCAGUCUUUCAAGCUCAGGCUGAGUUGGUAGUAUAAUACUCCUACAUUU